RNAcentral lists this transfer RNA (73 nucleotides) under Dreissena polymorpha. RNAcentral's name for it is "transfer RNA arginine (anticodon UCU)". It matches the Rfam family "tRNA". Rfam says of the family: Transfer RNA (tRNA) molecules are approximately 80 nucleotides in length. Their secondary structure includes four short double-helical elements and three loops (D, anti-codon, and T loops). Further hydrogen bonds mediate the characteristic L-shaped molecular structure. tRNAs have two regions of fundamental functional importance: the anti-codon, which is responsible for specific mRNA codon recognition, and the 3' end, to which the tRNAs corresponding amino acid is attached (by aminoacyl-tRNA synthetases). tRNAs cope with the degeneracy of the genetic code in two manners: having more than one tRNA (with a specific anti-codon) for a particular amino acid; and 'wobble' base-pairing, i.e. permitting non-standard base-pairing at the 3rd anti-codon position. Lineage: Eukaryota; Metazoa; Mollusca; Bivalvia; Myida; Dreissenidae. The record is from Rfam by way of RNAcentral.
AUCCCCGUAGCGCAGUGGAUAGCGCGCUGGACUUCUAAUCCAGAGGUCGCGGGUUCGAAUCCCGCCUGGGAUG